CUGCUCAGGAUGAACGCUGGCGGUAUGCUUAACACAUGCAAGUCGAACGGUCUCUUCGGAGAUAGUGGCGGACGGGUGAGUAACGCGUGAGAAUCUAGCUUCAGGUCGGGGAUAACUACUGGAAACGGUGGCUAAUACCGGAUGUGCCGAAAGGUGAAAGGCUUGCUGCCUGAAGAUGAGCUCGCGUCUGAUUAGCUAGUUGGUGUGGUAAGAGCGCACCAAGGCGUCGAUCAGUAGCUGGUCUGAGAGGAUGAUCAGCCACACUGGGACUGAGACACGGCCCAGACUCCUACGGGAGGCAGCAGUGGGGAAUUUUCCGCAAUGGGCGAAAGCCUGACGGAGCAAUACCGCGUGAGGGAGGAAGGCUCUUGGGUUGUAAACCUCUUUUCUCAGGGAAUAAGAAAGUGAAGGUACCUGAGGAAUAAGCAUCGGCUAACUCCGUGCCAGCAGCCGCGGUAAUACGGAGGAUGCAAGCGUUAUCCGGAAUGAUUGGGCGUAAAGCGUCCGCAGGUGGCGAUGUAAGUCUGCUGUUAAAGAGCAAAGCUUAACUUUGUAAAAGCAGUGGAAACUACAUAGCUAGAGUACGUUCGGGGCAGAGGGAAUUCCUGGUGUAGCGGUGAAAUGCGUAGAGAUCAGGAAGAACACCGGUGGCGAAGGCGCUCUGCUAGGCCGUAACUGACACUGAGGGACGAAAGCUAGGGGAGCGAAUGGGAUUAGAUACCCCAGUAGUCCUAGCCGUAAACGAUGGAUACUAGGCGUUGCGAGUAUCAC
RNAcentral lists this ribosomal RNA (771 nucleotides) under Nostoc sp. Su 8. RNAcentral's name for it is "bacterial SSU rRNA". It matches the Rfam family "Bacterial small subunit ribosomal RNA", at positions 20 to 835 of the family's 1533-position model. Lineage: Bacteria; Bacillati; Cyanobacteriota; Cyanophyceae; Nostocales; Nostocaceae. The record is from RNAcentral.